AGUCGAGCGGAUGACGGGAGCUUGCUCCUGGAUUCAGCGGCGGACGGGUGAGUAAUGCCUAGGAAUCUGCCUGGUAGUGGGGGACAACGUUUCGAAAGGAACGCUAAUACCGCAUACGUCCUACGGGAGAAAGCAGGGGACCUUCGGGCCUUGCGCUAUCAGAUGAGCCUAGGUCGGAUUAGCUUGUUGGUGAGGUAAUGGCUCACCAAGGCGACGAUCCGUAACUGGUCUGAGAGGAUGAUCAGUCACACUGGAACUGAGACACGGUCCAGACUCCUACGGGAGGCAGCAGUGGGGAAUAUUGGACAAUGGGCGAAAGCCUGAUCCAGCCAUGCCGCGUGUGUGAAGAAGGUCUUCGGAUUGUAAAGCACUUUAAGUUGGGAGGAAGGGUUGUAGAUUAAUACUCUGCAAUUUUGACGUUACCGACAGAAUAAGCACCGGCUAACUCUGUGCCAGCAGCCGCGGUAAUACAGAGGGUGCAAGCGUUAAUCGGAAUUACUGGGCGUAAAGCGCGCGUAGGUGGUUUGUUAAGUUGGAUGUGAAAGCCCCGGGCUCAACCUGGGAACUGCAUCCAAAACUGGCAAGCUAGAGUACGGUAGAGGGUGGUGGAAUUUCCUGUGUAGCGGUGAAAUGCGUAGAUAUAGGAAGGAACACCAGUGGCGAAGGCGACCACCUGGACUGAUACUGACACUGAGGUGCGAAAGCGUGGGGAGCAAACAGGAUUAGAUACCCUGGUAGUCCACGCCGUAAACGAUGUCAACUAGCCGUUGGAAUCCUUGAGAUUUUAGUGGCGCAGCUAACGCAUUAAGUUGACCGCCUGGGGAGUACGGCCGCAAGGUUAAAACUCAAAUGAAUUGACGGG
Molecule: ribosomal RNA, 862 nt
Filed under: Pseudomonas parafulva
Lineage: Bacteria; Pseudomonadati; Pseudomonadota; Gammaproteobacteria; Pseudomonadales; Pseudomonadaceae
Description: bacterial SSU rRNA
Rfam family: Bacterial small subunit ribosomal RNA
Source: RNAcentral